This 406-nucleotide ribosomal RNA is filed under the name uncultured bacterium. RNAcentral's name for it is "partial 16S ribosomal RNA". It matches the Rfam family "Bacterial small subunit ribosomal RNA", at positions 29 to 526 of the family's 1533-position model. The record is from RNAcentral.
AAUGAACGCUGGCGGCAUGCCUAACACAUGCAAGUCGAACGAGUGGCGGACGGGUGAGUAAUGUCUGGGAAACUGCCUGAUGGAGGGGGAUAACUACUGGAAACGUUAGCUAAUACUGCUUAACAUCGUAUGUGCCAAGAGGGGAUUAGCUAGUAGGUGGGGUAAAGGCUCACCUAGGCGACGAUGCCUAGCUGGUCUGAGAGGAUGACCGGCCACACUGGAACUGAGACACGGUCCAGACUCCUACGGGAGGCAGCAGUGGGGAAUAUUGCACAAUGGGCGCAAGCCUGAUGCAGCAAUGCCGCGUGUAUGAAGAAGGCUUUCGGGUUGUAAAGUACUUUCAGCGGGGAGGCGUUACCCGAAGAAGAAGCACCGGCUAACUCCGUGCCAGCAGCCGCGGUAAUUC